CGAGAGGGGGCAAGCGUUGUUCGGAAUUACUGGGCGUAAAGGGCGCGUAGGCGGCCUGCUAAGUCGAACGUGAAACCCCUGGGCUCAACCCAGGAACUGCGUCCGAUACUAGUUGGCUUGAAUCCGGGAGAGGGAUGUGGAAUUCCAGGUGUAGCGGUGAAAUGCGUAGAUAUCUGGAGGAACACCGGUGGCGAAGGCGGCAUCCUGGACCGGCAUUGACGCUGAGGCGCGAAAGCCAGGGGAGCAAACGGGAUUAGAUACCCCGGUAGUCCUGGCCCUAAACGAUGAAUGCUUGGUGUGGCGGGUAUCGAUCCCUGCCGUGCCGAAGCUAACGCAUUAAGCAUUCCGCCUGGGGAGUACGGUCGCAAGGCUG
This 373-nucleotide ribosomal RNA is filed under the name uncultured organism. RNAcentral describes it as "bacterial SSU rRNA". It matches the Rfam family "Bacterial small subunit ribosomal RNA", at positions 525 to 896 of the family's 1533-position model. The record is from RNAcentral.